RNAcentral lists this transfer RNA (823 nucleotides) under Oryctolagus cuniculus (rabbit). RNAcentral's name for it is "lncRNA (ENSOCUG00000033869.1)". Lineage: Eukaryota; Metazoa; Chordata; Mammalia; Lagomorpha; Leporidae. The record is from RNAcentral.
UUUUACAUUAGGUCAGAAGUGCACCUGUACUGGUCAGACCAGUUCUCACAGCAUGCCUGGAGCAUGGGUUUCAGACAACACAGUUUGAGGAGGUGACUCAAACACUGGAGUUCAGACAAAACCCUGAAAAAUGGUUGCAUUUUUAUCACAGCAGAUUUGGACCCAUUCUGAGAUUCUGAGAUUUGUUACAAAAAUGUACUGGUCUCUGUGAGAUGCUGAUUCUGUCCUCAAAGGAGAAAGGUCAGGGGCUUUUGGCCAUCCCUCUCCACUUCAGGAUGCUCUCGUCCAGGGGCACCAGGUCAACCAGGACAGCCGCGAGGGGCACACAAACCCCCAGCUGGCCCUGGGGAGUCUUCACUGCAGGAUUUGACGUCUAAAAGGAUGGGGACUUGGACCUCGGGCACAGGUGAGCUCUAAGGCCCCCGAAAGAAAUCAUUCGGUCAGGCCCUGCCAGGGCAUCAAGGCAGGCGAAUUUUCAAAAUGAUCAUUUUGUUUGGCCCACGAAUGAUGCGAUCAACAUUCACACGGCUCCCCAUUCCAACACAGGCCAGGUGCCCAGCCAUUCUUUCUGCAGGGGAGGGGAGGGAGCUGCCACCCAGCUUUAUCAAGGUCCUGUGACGCCUAAACCCAGCUUCUCCUUUCGACCCUUCACAGAGGCCGGGUGUGGGUGGUCACCUAAUCGCCUCGCUCAUAACUUUUUGAGGGAGGUAGUGGCAAAACUGUAGCUGGAUGCCUCCCCGUCGGGGAAUCGAACCCCGGUCUCCCGCGUGACAGGCGGGGAUACUCACCACUAUACUAACGAGGAAUGCCCUGCUGCAGGCCU